Molecule: ribosomal RNA, 427 nt
Filed under: uncultured bacterium
Lineage: Bacteria
Description: bacterial SSU rRNA
Rfam family: Bacterial small subunit ribosomal RNA
Source: RNAcentral
UGGGGAAUCUUGCGCAAUGGGCGAAAGCCUGACGCAGCAACGCCGCGUGCGGGAUGAAGGCCUUAGGGUCGUAAACCGCUUUCAGGGGGGACGAAGCUACCUGGGUUAAUAGCCCGUGGGGUGACGGUACCUUCAGAAGAAGCCCCGGCUAACUACGUGCCAGCAGCCGCGGUAAUACGUAGGGGGGGAGCGUUGUCCGGAAUCAUUGGGCGUAAAGCGCGUGUAGGCGGCUUGGCAAGUCUUGCGUGAAAUCCUGCGGCUCAACCGCAGGCCUGCGCGGGAUACUGCCUCGCUAGAGUCCGGAAGAGGAGAGUGGAAUUCCCAGUGUAGCGGUGGAAUGCGCAGAUAUUGGGAGGAACACCCGUGGCGAAGGCGGCUCUCUGGGACGGUACUGACGCUGAGACGCGAAAGCGUGGGGAGCGAACAG